GGCUGGUCCAAUGGUAGUGGGUUAUCAGAACUUAUUAACAUUAGUGUCACUAAAGUUGGUAUUCAACCCCCCACAGCUAAAUUUGACUGGCUUAAA
This 96-nucleotide Y RNA is filed under the name Microcebus murinus (gray mouse lemur). Its description in RNAcentral is "Y RNA (ENSMICG00000048087.1)". It matches the Rfam family "Y RNA". Rfam says of the family: Y RNAs are components of the Ro ribonucleoprotein particle (Ro RNP), in association with Ro60 and La proteins. The Y RNAs and Ro60 and La proteins are well conserved, but the function of the Ro RNP is not known. The record is from Rfam by way of RNAcentral. Lineage: Eukaryota; Metazoa; Chordata; Mammalia; Primates; Cheirogaleidae.